Molecule: ribosomal RNA, 447 nt
Filed under: uncultured bacterium
Lineage: Bacteria
Description: bacterial SSU rRNA
Rfam family: Bacterial small subunit ribosomal RNA
Source: RNAcentral
UCGAGAAUCUUUCACAAUGGGCGAAAGCCUGAUGGAGCGACGCCGCGUGGAGGAUGAAGGCCUUAGGGUUGUAAAACUCUUUCGUCGGGGACGAUAAUGACGGUACCCGAAGAAGAAGCUCCGGCUAACUUCGUGCCAGCAGCCGCGGUAAUACGAAGGGAGCUAGCGUUGUUCGGAAUCACUGGGCGUAAAGCGCACGUAGGCGGAUAGUUAAGUCAGGGGUGAAAUCCUGGGGCUCAACCCCAGAACUGCCUUUGAUACUGGCUGUCUCGAGGUCGAGAGAGGUUGGUGGAAUUCCUAGUGUAGAGGUGAAAUUCGUAGAUAUUAGGAAGAACACCAGUGGCGAAGGCGGCCAACUGGCUCGAUACUGACGCUGAGGUGCGAAAGCGUGGGGAGCAAACAGGAUUAGAUACCCAGGUAGUCCCUGAGCGGGCUGGCAAGGCGCAU